Molecule: ribosomal RNA, 468 nt
Filed under: uncultured bacterium
Lineage: Bacteria
Description: partial 16S ribosomal RNA
Rfam family: Bacterial small subunit ribosomal RNA
Source: RNAcentral
GACGAACGCUGGCGGCGUGCUUAACACAUGCAAGUCGAACGGAAAGGCCCCGCUUUUGUGGGGUGCUCGAGUGGCGAACGGGUGAGUAACACGUGAGUAACCUGCCCUUGACUUUGGGAUAACUUCAGGAAACUGGGGCUAAUACCGGAUAGGAGCUCCUGUUGCAUGGUGGGGGUUGGAAAGUUUCGGCGGUUGGGGAUGGACGCGCGGCUGAUCAGCUUGUUGGUGGGGGAGUGGCUUACCAAGGCUUUGACGGGUAGCCGGCCUGAGAGGGUGACCGGCCACAUUGGGACUGAGAUACGGACCAGACUCCUACGGGAGGCAGCAGUGGGGAAUAUUGCACAAUGGGCGGAAGCGUGAUGCAGCAACGCCGCGUGCGGGAUGACGGCCUUCGGGUUGUAAACCGCUUUCGCCUGUGACGAAGCGUGAGUGACGGUAAUGGGUAAAGAAGCACCGGCUAACUACGUG